RNAcentral lists this long non-coding RNA (482 nucleotides) under Junco hyemalis (dark-eyed junco). RNAcentral's name for it is "lncRNA (ENSJHYG00000001912.1)". The record is from RNAcentral. Lineage: Eukaryota; Metazoa; Chordata; Aves; Passeriformes; Passerellidae.
CCCCAUUUUUUUCCCGGUUUUUUCCCCAGGCCAAGCUGCACCCGGUGAAGCUGGAGCGGCUCCCGGAGUCCAGCCCGGCCGCCCGGAUCCUCUCGGUGGAGCCCACGCUCCAGGCUUCCUUCGCCCUCCACGAGGACGCCAACCCCAGCUCCCGCCGGCGCGGCCUGAAGCGAUUCCCCGAGAACCCCGAAGCUUUUUGGGGUCCCAAGGCCAGGGCCAAGCCCGGGGGGGGCAUCGCCCCCUCCCUGCAGGAGAAGAGGGAGAGGCUCCAGAACAAGAGGAGGCAGCGCCAGGACGGGGCCGGGCUCAAACAAUUCCCCUGCAAACGCUUCAAGGAGGUGGGCAGGGGUCCCCAAAUAUGGGGAGGGGUCCCCAAAAUAUCGUGAGGGGUCCUAAAAUAUGGGGAGGGGUCCCAGAACAACGAGAGGUCCCCUAAAAUAGGGAAGGGGGUGUGGGAAUAAAGGAGGAAUAAAGGGGGUCCA